GACGAACGCUGUCGGCGUGCUUAACACAUGCAAGUCGAACGGAAAGGCCCUGCUUUUGUGGGGUGCUCGAGUGGCGAACGGGUGAGUAACACGUGAGUAACCUGCCCUUGACUUUGGGAUAACUUCAGGAAACUGGGGCUAAUACCGGAUAGGAGCUCCUGCUGCAUGGUGGGGGUUGGAAAGUUUCGGCGGUUGGGGAUGGACUCGCGGCUUAUCAGCUUGUUGGUGGGGUAGUGGCUUACCAAGGCUUUGACGGGUAGCCGGCCUGAGAGGGUGACCGGCCACAUUGGGACUGAGAUACGGCCCAGACUCCUACGGGAGGCAGCAGUGGGGAAUAUUGCACAAUGGGCGGAAGCCUGAUGCAGCAACGCCGCGUGCGGGAUGACGGCCUUCGGGUUGUAAACCGCUUUCGCCUGUGACGAAGCGUGAGUGACGGUAAUGGGUAAAGAAGCACCGGCUAACUACGUGCCAGCAGCCGCGGUGAUACGUAGGGUGCGAGCGUUGUCCGGAUUUAUUGGGCGUAAAGGGCUCGUAGGUGGUUGAUCGCGUCGGAAGUGUAAUCUUGGGGCUUAACCCUGAGCGUGCUUUCGAUACGGGUUGACUUGAGGAAGGUAGGGGAGAAUGGAAUUCCUGGUGGAGCGGUGGAAUGCGCAGAUAUCAGGAGGAACACCAGUGGCGAAGGCGGUUCUCUGGGCCUUUCCUGACGCUGAGGAGCGAAAGCGUGGGGAGCGAACAGGCUUAGAUACCCUGGUAGUCCACGCUGUAAACGGUGGGUACUAGGUGUGGGGUCCAUUCCACGGGUUCCGUGCCGUAGCUAACGCUUUAAGUACCCCGCCUGGGGAGUACGGCCGCAAGGCUAAAACUCAAAGGAAUCGACGGGGCCCCGCACAAGCGGCGGAGCAUGCGGAUUAAUUCGAUGCAACGCGUAGAACCUUACCUGGGUUUGACAUGGAUCGGGAGUGCUCAGAGAUGGGUGUGCCUCUUUUGGGGUCGGUUCACAGGUGGUGCAUGCCUGUCGUCAGCUCGUGUCGUGAGAUGUUGGGUUAAGUCCCGCAACGAGCGCAACCCUUGUUCACUGUUGCCAGCACGUUAUGGUGGGGACUCAGUGGAGACCGCCGGGGUCAACUCGGAGGAAGGUGGGGAUGACGUCAAGUCCUCAUGCCCCUUAUGUCCAGGGCUUCACGCAUGCUACAAUGGCUGGUACAGAGAGUGGCGAGCCUGUGAGGGUGAGCGAAUCUCGGAAAGCCGGUCUCAGUUCGGAUUGGGGUCUGCAACUCGACCUCAUGAAGUCGGAGUCGCUAGUAAUCGCAGAUCAGCAACGCUGCGGUGAAUACGUUCCCGGGGCU
This 1346-nucleotide ribosomal RNA is filed under the name uncultured bacterium. RNAcentral's name for it is "bacterial SSU rRNA". It matches the Rfam family "Bacterial small subunit ribosomal RNA", at positions 28 to 1381 of the family's 1533-position model. The record is from RNAcentral.